Molecule: long non-coding RNA, 723 nt
Filed under: Corvus moneduloides (New Caledonian crow)
Lineage: Eukaryota; Metazoa; Chordata; Aves; Passeriformes; Corvidae
Description: lncRNA (ENSCMUG00000011897.2)
Source: RNAcentral
UGGCAUCAGCCAGUGUCCUCUCAUGAGGAAGAAUCAAUUUGCAAGGUAUUGAGUAAGUCCUUGGGCUCUGCGGAGGAGAGGUGACCACCCAUGAAAACAACUGACAUGAAAAGAACGCAAGAAUCACAUGUGUCCCUCCAGUCUGAAUAUAGACCAGCACAACUUGGGACUUGGACAACAAAAGCCUUGGACCACAAGGACUUCAGAUACCUGGAAAAACAUGGGGAGAGCAUGGGGCCAGCUGCUAGGCUGUCUUCUCUGAGAUUCUGACACAAUUAUAGUUCUGUUACAAAAAUUAGGAAAAUACUGAAAAAUCUAUAGGAUUGUUCUUCUAAGCAGCCAACCUUCUGCAGAAGGAAAUGGUGGCAAGUUCAGUGGGAAACGACAGAGCUCUCAGUCCCAGAGUUUCAAAGAUCACAAACUCCCUCUAAGGACUUGAGAAACAAAGAAAACCCUGUGACAGAGAAUAUUCUUCCUCAUUCAUCAUUUGAAAUCCUGCCUCUAAAAGUGUUAAGAACAAGUUAUUUUCAAUAUGAGUUAGCCCCAGGGGAUUUGAUAAAAGGCACUUUUCUUUUCCAGCUGGCUAAUCAAAAAAGUGGGCUGCAGAAGACUUUAGUGACUUGGAAGGCAGUUCUGAGACUCCCCCAGACUCAGCAAACUUUCCUGAUCCAAGGAACCAAAAAACAAAGAUGUGUCACAGGCCUGACUGAAUAUGGGAGCUGA